UAAAUCUUAUUACCUUGAAUUUUAUAAGGUUUAAAGCCGCGAAGUUCACAGGCUUAAUUAGCACAAAGACUACACUCCAUUAUCUCAAGCAUGACUCCACUAUUUCGAGUAUGACUCUAUCUUGAAACAAAACCUUAGUUUAGCAACUCUAGUCCCCCAAGAAAAAUGGAUGGAGACAAUAAUUAAGCUAGCAAAAAUGACAAAAAUAUCAUUAGCUUUCAUGCUUAUAGUUGUAACUAAAAUGUCUAUUCACAUAGUGCUUCAUCCAAAUACUAACAUAAAAAUAACUGUGAAGUUGAUCGGAUGGAAAGAAAGAGACAAGACUCUGCUGGUUGAUCCAGAAGAGAUAAACUGUUUAAAAGGGGUGGGUAGAUUGGACGAGGAAGCAGACUCAAUAUAUGAGCUUUACAAGUCCCCUAACGCAAGUAUGGAGGCUGGUUCAAUUUGGAAAGACAUAGUAUUGUCAUCAUCAAGGUUAAACAUUCAAAAGGAGUUGAAGUAUUGCAUCCAAAAAGUUGAAAGAUCAAAAUCAUAUGCUAAAGUUCAAUGCAGAUGAAAUUAUGAGGAAAAGAUCAACAUAGAAGCAAGCAUCUGAUUUUUCACCAAGUUUCACAAAGGAAUAUCACACCAGGGUUGUGCUAAAUAUGACUGGUUUUUUAUGUAACAUUCCUCUUCCUAUUUUAUGCGUUCUUUUGUUCAUUAGGAGGCCCAUCAAGCUUACAUAAUGGGAGGUAGCCACUCCCUCUCUAAUUCCAACCUAGAAUUAAUUUUACUAGCAAAUUUGAUUGGAAUGAAAAAAGUAAGAUACAAGGCAUCACAUAUAAUUAUUCAACACUGGAAUUACACGAGAAUAAUAUUUAGAAAGGAGAAGAAUCACACCACAACAUAAGCCAUUUACCAAGUGUUAUCUUCAUUCACAACUCUUGUCAACAUAAAAUUAGCCAACUUCUAUCCCUGAUAGAGGUUUCUAGAGAUAGUUAAAAUUCAAAACAAGAAUAACUGUAAACUAAAAACAAACAUAGCAACAUUGAAGCACUGAAUCAAACUAGGAUUUUUAAUGAUCUUUAGAUAUUUAAAUUUCAAAUUUUAUCCUCAAAUCUAAUUAUGUAUAUUGCAACCCAUCCACAAAAGUCUUUUUUUUUUUUCCUCUCUCUCUAAGUUUCCUCUAAUAGGUGAUGUUACAGUUGUUUCUCUUAGGAGCUCCACAGCUUUCAAAAUAUUCCAACUUAAUUUUACCCAUAAUCACUAAACUUAAAUGCAUCAACCAACUCUAUAGAAUGUCACUAUUGCCAAAUUUUAGUAGAAAUUUAGCCAAAACUUUUAUCUAUUAAUUAAGAAAACAUGAUAGCUUAUUUUUAAUUUUAUUAAGUAUACACAAAAUAACUUGGUUAUCAUGCAAAAAUUUGGCUAAAAUUUUUUAUCAACAUCUUGGAAUAAUAACCUCAUUGAAAAAAACAAAGUUAAAUAAUUUUAUUGAUACUUAUUGAAUUGUACUAAAAUAAGAACAAAUCCAAUGAUCAUGGUGAAAUUAAGCUAAAUAUUCAAUUUUGAAUUUUUUAUUAGGAAUAUAUAGCCUUGCUUCAAAUGACUUUAUAUUGCAUUGGCUCUAAAUUUUGUUCAUAUCUGCUAUAGGCUCAAAUGUACUUGGUUGGAACAUUUAAUUGCGACCAGUGUUUUUUAUUUUUUAUUAAACUAUCCUAUUCUUAGUCAAUGGGUUUUCUUAUCCUUUUUAUUUAGAUGAAAUUUACAAUGUUUCAUGUGACAAUACUGUUUAUGCAUUCCUUUAGAAUUUAAUUUAGAUGAACAUUAUGCCAUUAUGAUUGGAACAAUGACUAUGGAAUUAAUUUUAUUUACAAAUAGAAUUCAUAGAUAAAACUCAUUUGUAAAUUCCCAUAUUUGGUAUCUUAUGUAUUAAAUAUAUAAUUCAUUUUCAAAAUUUGGUUCAAAUAGAACCAAUUUUUCAAAUAAUUAAAGAUUAGAAUUUUAAAUGAAUUUUUUGUGCACACCAAACAAGUUAAUGAAGUGCUGAAUUACAAAUCAAUUCCAAAUUUUCUGUGGCAUGACGGUGUGAAUUGGCCAACCUUCAGUUUUUU
Molecule: unclassified non-coding RNA, 2093 nt
Filed under: Hevea brasiliensis (rubber tree)
Lineage: Eukaryota; Viridiplantae; Streptophyta; Magnoliopsida; Malpighiales; Euphorbiaceae
Source: RNAcentral